This 495-nucleotide ribosomal RNA is filed under the name Triticum aestivum (bread wheat). RNAcentral's name for it is "partial small subunit ribosomal RNA". The record is from RNAcentral. Lineage: Eukaryota; Viridiplantae; Streptophyta; Magnoliopsida; Poales; Poaceae.
AUGGCUCCAAGUAAGAUAUGGAUGAGACUAGUGGAUGAGCGAUUAGAUGAUGAAUACUUAGAAGGGGUAGAGAAUUUCCUUGACUAUGCGUUCAGCCACGCAGGCAGAGAGAAUGAAAUUCGAUGUCCAUGCAUCAAAUGCUGCAACACAUACUCUCAUCCUCGUGCAUUGGUUUCUUCUCACCUGAAAGUGUAUGGAAUUCUGAGAAAUUAUACCUUUUGGUACCAUCAUGGUGAAGUUGCGACGGAACCUCAAACAGUUUCUGAAGGUCAAGGCGAUGAAGAAACGCAAGCAGAGAGUGCAGAUGGAUAUGACCCAAUGCAAGAUUUGUUGCAUGAUCUGUUUCCUCAAAAUAAUAAUCCAACUGAGCAAACAACGACACCACCAUCUAACGAAGAGGACCAAAUACUGAAGCAGCAAAGUUUUAUAAAUUGCUUGACAACUACAACCAGCCACUUUAUGAAGGUUCUAGUACCACUAAAUUAUCUGCACUAG